This 864-nucleotide long non-coding RNA is filed under the name Equus caballus (horse). RNAcentral's name for it is "lncRNA (ENSECAG00000042712.2)". The record is from RNAcentral. Lineage: Eukaryota; Metazoa; Chordata; Mammalia; Perissodactyla; Equidae.
AGAAAGUGCAAUUACACAAUGAAAAGGGGCAAGCACACUGCAUAAAGAUGUAGAUGAGCUAAAGCUACAUGGAAGAGAUGGGACAGCAUGCCAUGGGGGGAGCAGCCCAGCAGGGGAGCCAGGCAGCUGUCUCCUGACUACUUUCUUGACUGGAAAACAUGGGAUGCCUCAGAAUGCUCCAUAUCUUUGUAAGAUGCUUAUUUUGCCUGCAAAAGAAAGUCAUGUGUCUGGAAUAAUAACAUGAAAUGAUAUGAGCAGUGGAGAUUCAAGAAAUUACUCUUCAAAAAAAGUCUAUAGACAUGGUCUCAGGAAAGCUAAAUGCCAAGCAUUAGCAUGAAGAGGCUUCAGGAAAGGUGGGACCAGACAUUCAAAGAAUGUUAAGAAUUGGAUGGAAUGGUGAUAAUUUUAGCACUGAUGCUUAUUUGGAGUGAGGAAGAAAAACAUCUUAAGACAUCACUUGCUGCAAAAUAUUUGCCUCAUGACAGAAAGAAGAACGAAAGAAGAUCCACUGGCUCCCUUUUAGGAAACUUUCUGGAAGUACCAUUCAACGCAGCUACUCACACUUCAUUUGCCAGCACGUGAUUACAGAGCAACGAUGUUUGUGAAGUGAAAUCAUUCAAUGGUUCCCCGAGGAUGACUUCAAAUUCUGAAAAUAAAAUGCAGCAGACCAGAUCGUAACGUCAGAAUUCAUUUUGGCAACUCUUGGAAAAGAAGAUUCAUUGUUUUGGUUGGUUUGUAAAGCUCUAAUGGUAAACUUCUGUUGUUUUCUAAAGAAAAGGUGGGCCCUUAGAGCACAUAAUAAAUAGUAACAUCGAUUUCACCUUGAAAAUUGCUACAAAAGUAGUUUGACCCUCUGGACUGGGA